GGGAAUUUUCGGCAAAUGGACGGAAGUUUGACCGAGCAACGCCGCGUGAGUGAAGAAGGUUUUUCGGAUCGUAAAGCUCUGUUGUAAGAGAAGAACGAGUGUGAGAGUGGAAAGUUCCCACUGUGACGGUAUCUUACCAGAAAGGGACGGCUAAAUACGUGCCAGCAGCCGCGGUAAUACGUAGGUCCCGAGCGCUGUCCGGAUUUAUUGGGCGUAAAGCGAGCGCAGGCGGUUAGAUAAGUCUGAAGUUAAAGGCUGUGGCUUAACCAUAGUAGGCUUUGGAAACUGUUUAACUUGAGUGCAAGAGGGGAGAGUGGAAUUCCAUGUGUAGCGGUGAAAUGCGUAGAUAUAUGGAGGAACACCGGUGGCGAAAGCGGCUCUCUGGCUUGUAACUGACGCUGAGGCUCGAAAGCGUGGGGAGCAAACAGGAUUAGAUACCCUGGUAGUCCACGCUGUAAACGAUGAGUGCUAGGUGUUAGACCCUUUCCGGGGUUUAGUGCCGUAGCUAACGCAUUAAGCACUCCGCCUGGGGAGUACGACCGCAAGGUUG
This 550-nucleotide ribosomal RNA is filed under the name uncultured bacterium. RNAcentral describes it as "bacterial SSU rRNA". It matches the Rfam family "Bacterial small subunit ribosomal RNA", at positions 357 to 896 of the family's 1533-position model. The record is from RNAcentral.